Molecule: long non-coding RNA, 6890 nt
Filed under: Coffea arabica (coffee)
Lineage: Eukaryota; Viridiplantae; Streptophyta; Magnoliopsida; Gentianales; Rubiaceae
Description: long non-coding RNA (CARA_LNC003829)
Source: RNAcentral
UUUUUUUUUUUUUUUAAUGUAAACGGGAGGAUUCGAAUCCGAGAACUUUUGCUUACACUUCCCCCACCUCUUGUUGUACAUUUUACUUGAUUUGGUGUAUACUUACAUUUCUUUGUUUUACACAUAAUUUUUUUUCGAUAAAAGCAAAACUCAUUAACAAAUUGCUAAAAAUCAUCCAGUACAAUUUGAUCUACAUCACUGUCCUAAUGGCAAAUUAAACAUGUACUAGAAAUUAUAGAUCUACAAUUUAAUAGAUACAAUGGAUCCGAAAAAUUAUAACACAUUUGAAAAAUACAAGAAAUUUGAAAGUUGUUUUCAAACAGAUAAAUCGUUGCAACUCCAUUUUGUGCAUGCUGUAAUCUUUAGAUCUACUAAUCAAUGGUUUUAAAUUUCAAUAAUGAUGGUGAUCUGUCAAAAUAGAUUCAAGAUCCGACAAAAUUCAGAUCUGAAAUAAAUUAAGAUGUAACAUUUAAAAAAAUAAAAAUAAAAAUUUCCAUAGGAAUCCGUAGGAGAACACCAAAAAGAAAAAAAAAAAACACAUAAUUGGUUUGGGCCUAAUAGACGAAAUGGGCAUAUGCACUAAGGUCAUACUAAAAGAGAUAAAAGGAAUAAAAGGGUUCUUGAAAAUAAAAAAGGAAAAAAGGGAGAUAAAAGAGUCACAAAAAACCAACAUUGUAAAAGUACAAAUGUAGUUUUGUACGUCCACCAUGAAACCCUAAGCCCUUGGUGUACUUCAUAUCAUAGUACAAAUAAUUAAGUACUUUAAAGACUUCAAUCUUGGUGUUGGGUAAUGGAGUUCUUCUCUUUCUAUCCAGAUAUCGAAUUCCCUAAUUAUCCCCAGUUUGGAUCCAGUUCUAUUUGUAAGUCUAAUUACUACAAGGGAUCAUGUUCUUGUCCAAUGACAACAGGAUGAAGGCGAGUAUCAAUUCAAUUCAGAGAACUGUAAGUAUUUUUUUUCCUAUUUUUUUUCUUUUAAUUACUGGCACUUUUGGAAACACGUCUUCAGCUUAAUACAAUUGCUAUUGCUGAUUAAAAAUAUUCUAACUGCAGAAUUUAUGAUAUUUGUGAUACGGGAAAGCUAGUUUUAAUUUCCUUUUUUCUGAAUAUAUAUAUCCCUUUGAGCUAAAAGGUUCUUUUCUCUAUAAGCAAAAUCAUGGAAACCAAAAUGUUUUCUAGAAUUAGUUUUCGUGGUUCUAGUCCCUCAAACUUAAUUAUAUAUUAAUAUUGUCCAUUGAAAGAAUAGCUUGUAUUAGAAAUUUCUUGAAUACGAUGUUACAUAUAAGAUUGCUUGCUGUAGUUGCUCUUAUAAGAUUAAAAUUUAAAGUUAAAUCUAUUAAAAGAAAAGUCAAUGACAUCCUGAUCUGAGUUCAAAUCCCUCAUUUCUCUUUUUCGCUUCUUAAAUUCCAUUCUUGAGAAGCAAAAAAAAAAAAAAAGAAAGGGUUGGCAUGAUCCUAUUGAUAUUUCCCAACGCUAGAUCCUGCUUUGAAUACUCGGGCAAUUGCCAAAACCACUAGGCAAACGUCUCUAAUUCUGAAGCAAUAGCUAAAAAAAAAAAAAGACAAUUCUAAAGCACUAAUGGCAAUUUGGACUUAUAAAAAAUAUUUGAUUUUUCUUCAAUUGAGCCCCAAAAAUUGGAAAAUUCUUGCAAGAGGGUAACUCAAUUGAUAAAAAGUUCUUCCCUUGCUCUUGUUGUUGUCCAUAGUAGCAUCCCUUUCUCCCUCUACUCCUGGAGAAGAAAUAACUACUCAAUAGAAUUGGAAAACCACAAUAUUACUGCACCACACAAUACAAUUGAAGGGGAAAUAGCCACAGAUUCUUUGUAAUUUUGUUUCCUGCCAUGGCUAUGGUGGUUGGAUUCUGGUGGAUUUUGUAAUUUUGUAAUUAUAGAUGAUAGAUCACCACCAUGGUAUGCUAAUUUUUUGCCCACAUAUAUUGACCUUUGUGAUCAAGUAAGGGCUUAAAUGAAACCAAAAUUUAACUUUUGUUGAUAAUAGACAUAGACAUAAAACUUCAAGGGCCUUAAUAUAUGCCAGUCACAUUUCAAAGACAAAAAAACUUGUCCUGGAUUUCAUUAUUUUCAUCUUCAUUUCUCAUUUCUCAUUUCUCAAUUUCUAAGACCAAAAAAAAAAAUUUUUCAAAAUGAACCCAUGUAGAAUUCUUUUACAGUUUCUUUCUUCCAUAAUUAAACAAGACAUUCAUGAUUCAUAGAUUAGUGGGCAUCUCCUAGCUAAAACGUGUGCUCCAUCACAUGGCUGCUGGCUGGUUUUAGGGAUUUUAUUAUAUAAAUACUCUUUAAAAAAAAUUAUUUGGCCUACAAAACAUGGUCACGACCACAAACAACAUCAUAUAAUUCUCAACUUUCUACUGUCAAAAAAAUUAAUUAUAAUAAAUGGAAGAAAAUUAUCAAGCUUUUUGGUCAACGAAGACAAACCAAUGAACAUGGCUUUGUACAAAUUGUGCACGAAAGGGAGGUAGGUGGAGACAGCAUCAAACAUUUUCAAAUUGUCAUAUUUCUCUUAUAAGUUAGUGCAUUUUUUUACUUUCUUUUUUUCCCUUUUCUUUCUGGAAAUCAUAAGAAGCGGUUCAGGAAAUGUUUGCAUGUUGUUGUGUUUUUCUUUCAAGAAUUCAAGAAUAAGAUUCAAACAUAAGAAUUUUUCUAGCAUACACCUUUUUUUUUUCUUGUGCAUGUUGUUGUUAGGAAUUUUCCCCAACUACCAAAUUUUAAUCCUAGAAUUGCUUUCAUAAAUUUAACAUAAACAAGAAAAACGGAUACCAACUAAAUUCUUGGUCAAUGGAUUAAACCCUUGAAAAUGAAGGGUUUUUUUAAAAAAAAAAAUUUGUGAAUUGUAACUCAAUCAUAUGCAACACGACCUAGAAGAUUCUCACAUAGCAGUAGAAAGCAAAAUCUCGACUCAAAGAUGUUAUGUUCUAUUCAUGAUUGUAGCAGCCAAAAAUUGAAUAUUAAGCUGUCUUCAUAUAGAUCAUGUCUAUUACAACUAGGGCUGCAAACGAGCCGAGUCGAGUCGAGUUUUGAGCUAAUCGAGCCGAGUCUCGGCUAAAUUUUAUCAAGCUCGAGCUCGAGCUCGAGCUCGACGAGCUGGCAAUUUUCGAGCUCGAGCUCGACUCGAAUCAAGUCGAGCCGAGCUCGAGCUCGAAAAAAAUAAAAAAAAAAUUAUUUUAUUUUUAAAAAAAUAAAUAAAAUAAUAUUUUUUUCUGAAUAAAUAAUAAAAUAUUAAGGAUAUAUCCGUAAUUUCACUAUGAAAAUAAAAAAUAAAAAAAUAUAUAUAUAAUAUACGUAAUUUAUUAUUAAAUAAAAAUAAAAAUAAAAAAAAUAUAUAUAUACUCAAGCUCGCGAGCCGGCUCGCGAGCUAACGAGCUUAAUAUUCUGAGCUCGAGUUCGAGCUCGAGCUCGACUCGAGCUGGCUCGAGCUCGACUCGAGCUCGAUUAAUGUCGAACUCGACUCGAGUCUGGCUCGAGCCGCUCGCGAGCGGCUCGAUUCGUUUGCAGCCCUAAUUACAACUAAUGGACAUGUCUUUUCCCUAGGAAAAAAAAAAGAGCAAAAAAAAAAACUAUAAUGAUAAUAGAUAAUUUAUCACACCUUAACAAGGCAAAAUUUCCCGGAAUAAUAAGCUGUUGAACUGGAAAGCCCUUGGGGUUUGAGCUAAGCAUUUUUCUUCUAGCUUCUUUUCUUCAUUUUCAGUUUUCAUGUGGGAGGGAGGAAUAGAACCUCAUAGGAUGCUUCCUAUAUUUGCGUAGUUUAAAUCUGGGAAUCAAACAUCACAAAAAGUCAACUAACGUGUAACGGUGCUGGAUCAAGACAAAAUUAAGUUUAACUUAUUUGUACCUGGUCAAGAUUAGGAUAAACUAAUGUGCAUCCUCCAGCUGCAAUUGGCAGAAAACAAAUGUAUUUUGAUGGUGGAAAACCAAGAAAAACGCGUUAUACUUUCAAAGUAGACUUCCUUGUAAACAAGCUGGCACUAGCCUAUCACCCCAUCCCCAUCUUCAAUAAUGAUCAAAAGUCAGAAAGAAAAAAUCCUUUCCUACUCUUUUUCUUGCAUCUAUAAAUAGCAAACCUUGUCAAGAAAUAAACCAAGAUUGGGAAAAAAAAAUCAGCUUCCAGAUCAAGUUUGAGCAACUGUUGAAGCAAGAGAAAAUAAGGAACAGCUUCCUUUUUGUUGAUAACCAAAAUGACAAUAAUGUUGCUCAGGACAUUAGUGAUUGCAGCUGCUGUAGCAGCAGCAUUUGUUGACACGGCCAUGGCCGCGAAUUAUGUGGUGGGAGCGCCAACCGGUGGAUGGGAUCUCAAUACACAAUUCCAAUCAUGGGCAAACGCUAAAAAAUUCUUCGUUGGAGACACUCUGAGUAAGUAAUCAAUCCUAAAAUGUGUGCAAAAACUUCUUUUCUUGCAACGUGCAUUAGUCGACUCGUGACUUUGGAUGAAUUCGUGCAAACUGAUAUAAUGUGGAACAGAUGUAAAAUGAAAGUUCUUUUUCUUCAAUCCCAGAUGGAUUUUAUUGAUGAAAGCUCUUCUUGAUUUCUGCAGAUUUUGUGUAUGGACCAAGCCAUAGUGUGCUUCAAGUUUCAAAGCCAGAUUAUGAUGCCUGCCUGACGAAUGCCUCCAUAGCAUCGUAUUCUGGAGGGAACACUGCUAUAACCCUUUCUUCCUCAGGAAACAGCUACUACAUUUGUGGAACAUCUGGACAUUGUGACAGAGGAAUGAAAGUGGUUAUCAGUGUACUUCCUGCACCUGCGCCCCCAACAGCCGCUCCAUCGGUUCCUCCUCCAGCAGCCACUCCAUCCUCCCCAACACCAGCAACUCCUUCAGGUUCCCCAACUUCAAGUCCUACAGGUUCGCCUGCUGCAUCUCCACCCAAACCUGCAGCUCCAGCCAACUCUCCAAAACUGUCUCCUUUAGUGUCACCCUCCAAGUCACCUGCAAGCAGUCCAUCCAAGUCACCAGCCAUCAGUCCUGCAUCAUCACCUCCUCCCAGUCCCACUCCUGCUGCCGAAUCCCCAGCAGCAAGUCCACCAUCUCCUAACGCAUCUUCACCAUCUGGCUCUCCCCCACCAUCUUCAGCUAACAAAGUCAAUGUGGUAUCUUUCACAAUGACAGUGGGCUUCAUCAUCAUGAUGCUACUGACUCUCUGAAGAUUUUGACCAGAUUUUCAUGCGGAAUUUUUGUUACCGCUGAUUCCUCUCCAUUGAUGUCUCAAUUCUCUUGUAUCGCUUAUUCUUUGAUAUUUGAUCUAUCUGGUACAUUUAAAAGAUUGUGUUCCCGUUGUACAAUUUUGCUCCUAAUAUGGAUGUGUGAAAGAUAUUCUGUGAGUUCUCCUGCCAUAAAUGCAUUUCAGAUUCUUCAUCUACCGGGUGCAAUCAUGGUUCAAAGUCGUGGUCGCGGUCACGGUCGCGGUCCGGAACGUUCCAUAUCGGUCUCGGCAUAUCGAUCGCGGUCUCGGUGAGACGCAAAUUUUAAAGUAUUUAAUAUUCUAAAAAUUAUUAAUAAUAUAAAAAAAAGUAUGCUAAACAAAAAUAAUAAAAAAAUAGCAGAAGAAAUGGCCGAGUCAAUCUGUCACGGUGUAACUCGGCCGAUUUCUCGUCUUGACUCGGGAUAACUCGGAGUGACUCGGCCGAGUCAAUCCGUCGCGGUGACGUCUCGGCCGAUUUCUUGGCGAGUCAAGUAUUUCGGUAUCGUUUCGUCACGGUUUCGUAUCGGUAGGGGCCGAGACGGUGACGACUCGGCCGAGUCGUCUCGGUCUCGGCCGAGACUUCGAACCAUGGGUGCAAUAGAAGGAUCCUGUUAUCUUCGAUAUACUUAAGAUGCUAAUGACAAAAAUAUGUGAAUGGAAUUUCUCUUAUUUUUCAGGUAGGCACAUAAUCUCAUGAGUUGCAUCCUACUGAUAGAGCCCCUCUAUUUUCAUUUUCGCGAAAAUAGAAACUGAAGACAAUUUGCUUCAAUUUAGACAGUUCUUAUUAAACUUGAUGAGCUUCAGAAUAUGCAAGGAAUUACCAUAGAAAAUGGCAUUUCACACAUUCUUGGGUCUCGCUUUAAAAUCCCUAGUCAAGCACCCCUCAAAGAUGAACCUCAACUGAUAUUAGCUCAGCUUGUUGGCAAAUAUUUUAAGAUAUCAAAUUUAGAGCAACGAAGGAGAUUGGCAACGCGGUGGAGACCAGUUUCUUGUACAAUCAGGUGCCAGAACCCUAAAUGAAGGCAUACCCAAGGCAGAGGAGGCAAACUGUAGAGAUGAUGAUGAAUCCUAAGGAAUUGCCAGAGAAAAUGAUAUUUGAAACAUUUGAGGAUCUCACUUAAAAAUCCUUGGAUCAAGAACCCCCAGUAAGAUGAAUCCCAAAAUCAAUUUAGCUACGGUUAUUGUAAAUAUUUCAUGAUAUCAAAGUGAGAGGGACGACAGAGAAUGGCAACUGGGUGGAGACCAAUUUCAUACACAAUGAGGUGCCAGAACCACAAGGAGAGGCAUACACAAGGGCGACAAGCCAAACUCAAGAGAUGAUGACUAAUCCUCCAAAUUCCGUUCCAGGUUAAUGGCACCAAGACAGAUACAAAAUUUCGUAAAUUCCUAUAUGCAGGCUUGGUUAAAUUCACGAGGAUAUGAUAAUGAGAGCAACAAAAAGAAAGCAAGCCAACAACAGUUGCAGAAUAAACAAAUGUUGCUACUCAAGAGUGAUGAUUAAGCCUCCAAAUUCUUCUGUUCCAGGUUAAUGGCACCAGGACAGACAGGCUAAAUUUUAUGAGGCAACAAUAUGCAGGAUUAGAUAAGUUCACAAAGAGGACAUGAUAAUGAGGACAACAAAAAGAAAUCAAGCUAACAACAGUUGCAGGAUAAAACAAUCCUUAAGUCAAUAAAUCCGAUAGAAAAAAAAAACAAGACAUAUA